RNAcentral lists this ribosomal RNA (926 nucleotides) under Salmonella enterica subsp. enterica serovar Dublin. Its description in RNAcentral is "partial 23S ribosomal RNA". It matches the Rfam family "Bacterial large subunit ribosomal RNA", at positions 253 to 1217 of the family's 2925-position model. Lineage: Bacteria; Pseudomonadati; Pseudomonadota; Gammaproteobacteria; Enterobacterales; Enterobacteriaceae. The record is from RNAcentral.
GCGAACGGGGAGGAGCCCAGAGCCUGAAUCAGCAUGUGUGUUAGUGGAAGCGUCUGGAAAGGCGCGCGAUACAGGGUGACAGCCCCGUACACAAAAGCGCAUGUGCUGUGAGCUCGAUGAGUAGGGCGGGACACGUGGUAUCCUGUCUGAAUAUGGGGGGACCAUCCUCCAAGGCUAAAUACUCCUGACUGACCGAUAGUGAACCAGUACCGUGAGGGAAAGGCGAAAAGAACCCCGGCGAGGGGAGUGAAAAAGAACCUGAAACCGUGUACGUACAAGCAGUGGGAGCACAGGUUUACCUGUGUGACUGCGUACCUUUUGUAUAAUGGGUCAGCGACUUAUAUUCUGUAGCAAGGUUAACCGAAUAGGGGAGCCGGAGGGAAACCGAGUCUUAAUUGGGCGUUAAGUUGCAGGGUAUAGACCCGAAACCCGGUGAUCUAGCCAUGGGCAGGUUGAAGGUUGGGUAACACUAACUGGAGGACCGAACCGACUAAUGUUGAAAAAUUAGCGGAUGACCUGUGGCUGGGGGUGAAAGGCCAAUCAAACCGGGAGAUAGCUGGUUCUCCCCGAAAGCUAUUUAGGUAGCGCCUCGUGAAUUCAUCUCCGGGGGUAGAGCACUGUUUCGGCUAGGGGGCCAUCCCGGCUUACCAACCCGAUGCAAACUGCGAAUACCGGAGAAUGUUAUCACGGGAGACACACGGCGGGUGCUAACGUCCGUCGUGAAGAGGGAAACAACCCAGACCGCCAGCUAAGGUCCCAAAGUCAUGGUUAAGUGGGAAACGAUGUGGGAAGGCCCAGACAGCCAGGAUGUUGGCUUAGAAGCAGCCAUCAUUUAAAGAAAGCGUAAUAGCUCACUGGUCGAGUCGGCCUGCGCGGAAGAUGUAACGGGGCUAAACCAUGCACCGAAGCUGCGGCAGCGACGCUUA